GCCCACAGUCUAGAUGCUUACAAAUCUUCUGCAAAAAAUGAGAUUUUUGUACAACACAAGAGACAGAAUAAUAGAAGAGCAAUUACAAUUUUCAUAGCAACCAAGCAUCAUAAGAAUAUUUUAUUAUAGUGGUGAAACUAUUCAUAAUGCUUUUGAUUAGUUUCUAAAGCAAUCAACAAACUUCCUUUUUGAUUAUGAUACCAUGCCACCAACUAUUACAUAAUUGAAGAUCAGUACAAACCCU
RNAcentral lists this long non-coding RNA (244 nucleotides) under Elaeis guineensis (African oil palm). RNAcentral describes it as "long non-coding RNA (EGUI_LNC054184)". Lineage: Eukaryota; Viridiplantae; Streptophyta; Magnoliopsida; Arecales; Arecaceae. The record is from RNAcentral.